GUGCUUGCUUUCAUAGCACAUAUACUAAUACUGGAGUAAUAGAAAGAUUAGCAUGGCCCCUGUGAAAGCAUGACACACAGAUCUGUUAAGUGUUCCAUGUUUUU
Small nuclear RNA from Cricetulus griseus (Chinese hamster), 104 nucleotides. The record is from Ensembl. NCBI's taxonomy places the organism in Eukaryota, Metazoa, Chordata, Mammalia, Rodentia, Cricetidae.